GCGGGCGUAGCUCAGUUGGUAGAGCAUCAGCUUCCCAAGCUGAGGGUCGCGGGUUCGAGUCCCGUCGCCCGCU
Molecule: transfer RNA, 73 nt
Filed under: Candidatus Eiseniibacteriota bacterium
Lineage: Bacteria; Candidatus Eiseniibacteriota
Description: tRNA-Gly
Rfam family: tRNA
About the family: Transfer RNA (tRNA) molecules are approximately 80 nucleotides in length. Their secondary structure includes four short double-helical elements and three loops (D, anti-codon, and T loops). Further hydrogen bonds mediate the characteristic L-shaped molecular structure. tRNAs have two regions of fundamental functional importance: the anti-codon, which is responsible for specific mRNA codon recognition, and the 3' end, to which the tRNAs corresponding amino acid is attached (by aminoacyl-tRNA synthetases). tRNAs cope with the degeneracy of the genetic code in two manners: having more than one tRNA (with a specific anti-codon) for a particular amino acid; and 'wobble' base-pairing, i.e. permitting non-standard base-pairing at the 3rd anti-codon position.
Source: RNAcentral